AUCCAUGAGAAGACACAGUGUUCCAUCCAGAGGAUGUAGCAUCAAGGCGUCAUCUUAAAAGCAGAGAAAAGACUCUUACUUGACACCAGAUGCCAGUGCAUUGAUCUUGGACUUCCCAGCCUCUAGAACUAAUGCUGGUAGCUGUGUAAUUAGGCAAGUUCUUCUCUGCUAUUUUAAGAAAAAGACUUCAUAGAAAAAUUUAGUUCAGCCUGGUGUGGAUGCAUUUCAGAAUCUGUGAAAAAUGGAAUCACAAUGCUGUGACAGCAGCAUUUCUGCCUGUGGUAUCUGUGAAGCAGGUAAACAGCCCUGGGACAAAGAACAGACUACGGGUAUUGCCUUCUUAAUCAACAAUAAAGUAUUAGUUGGCUUCCAGGCAGACACCACUGACUUUCAAGAGAAAGGCACGGGAGUAAGGAAGUAAAGAAUUCAGGGCAAACGUCGAGCUUUCCUCUGGGCUCCAAUGUAAAAGAAGUGGAUAGCGGCUGACUAGUGUACAUAUUAUGUAUGCAGACUUUGAAGGAAUCCCCCUUGUUUUUAGCUGUUCUUCCAUUGCUCCUGGAGACUCUGAGCUCAGAGAUUUUCUAGGCUCUGAUGGGCAGAGUGGCUCGUUUCCUCCCUGAAGUUUCCUUCAUGCCACAUUCUGGAUUACAACCUCCUCCAAAGAGUGUCAUCUGUCAAUAUAAUGUCAUCUCUUGA
RNAcentral lists this long non-coding RNA (696 nucleotides) under Homo sapiens (human). Its description in RNAcentral is "HSALNT0294310". Lineage: Eukaryota; Metazoa; Chordata; Mammalia; Primates; Hominidae. The record is from RNAcentral.